RNAcentral lists this small RNA (735 nucleotides) under Pan troglodytes (chimpanzee). RNAcentral describes it as "processed transcript". The record is from RNAcentral. Lineage: Eukaryota; Metazoa; Chordata; Mammalia; Primates; Hominidae.
AUCUCCAGCUGCAAGCUGGGCCCCCAGGUGUCACUGGACCCCAUGAAGAAUGUCACCUGCGAGAAUGGGCUGCCGGCCGUGGUGAGUUGUGUGCCUGGGCAGGUCUUCAGCCCUGACGGACCCUCGAGAUUCCGGAAAGCCUACAAGCCAGAGGCUGGAGUGCAAUGGCAUGAUCUUGGUUCACUGCAACCUCCGGCUCCUGGGUUCACGCGAUUCUCCUGCCUCGGCCUCCCAAGUAGCUGAGAUUACAGGCACCCGCCACCACGCCUCGCUAAUUUUUGUAUUUUUAGUAGAGAUGGGGUUUCACCAUGUUGGCCAGGCUAGUCUUGAACUCCUGACCUCAGAUGGCCCACCCGCCUCGGCCUCCCAAAGUGCUGGGAUUACAGAUGUGAGCCACCGCGCCUGGCCUAACGGGCCGAUUUCCUAGAACAAGUAAAGUAGCCCAACCACAGCAGGCUUGACCCAGCCUCUGACAAAGAGCAAGUGCCCUGUCUCUUCUUGAUUCGCUUUUCUUUCUCCUCCUCUUCCUUUUUCCUCUAUCCAUCAAAGGGUCUCUGUGAUUUCUGUGUUCAGGAAACAGCGAAUAUCUUGUGAGUGGGUGGGAAUAGCAACUGGGAAGAGGAGAGGGAGGGAUAGGAGAAGUGACUGAUCAUUUCUCAGGGGCUGAUGCCCUGUGCCAGGUAAAACCUCAGUACUUAGUGCACUGUUUGCUGACGUGGCAUGAGUAGAUGAGAC